Molecule: ribosomal RNA, 5748 nt
Filed under: Triticum aestivum (bread wheat)
Lineage: Eukaryota; Viridiplantae; Streptophyta; Magnoliopsida; Poales; Poaceae
Description: partial small subunit ribosomal RNA
Source: RNAcentral
CAAAGCUCUCAUCUGGGCAAAUGAAUGACUGGUAGAGUGAGAUGAACAAGCCAGAUAGUCAGUAACACGUUUGUUUCCUUUUUUGGUCCCCUCGGACAUUUUUACAGUUGUCCCUAGAGUCAAAUCCACGUGUGAAAGAGGAAAAACAGGUGGUCAGAUAUAAAACUGAUCCUCGUAUAUUCCCGGUACAUUUGAACGCAGCACCAGCGACGAAUAGACGUGGUCGGCACCAGUAUGACUGCUGCAGCAGGAAAAUGUGUUAUGACGACCACGAUGGUGACAACAACGCUGCUACACAGCCGACACAUUGUGGACGAUUUGGAAUCGAUGCAGCGCAUCAAGCCAUCCAUGCAAUUAGCAAAAGUGAGCAUCACCGUCCACUCCUCCCGUCGUCCACAGUUCGGCCGGCGACUGUCGUCCGUACAGCAAUUUCGUGGUGACAAAGAAGUCCGUGCAGAUUCAACAAGCAUUGCUGGCCGAUGCUUACCGUCCACCAAUAUUUCCAAAGAACUGGUCUUUCCCCACCAGUUCGUCCUUCGCACUCCACAGUCACGGGUCUUUCCUGAUAAAGAAAUGCUCUGCAAUCAACACACUAUUACUUGUCAACUCAGACACGAAAUAUCAAGACUUUUCUCUCCACCCAGCAACAUGCUCUCUCUAGUACGAUUUACAUGACUGGAGUGGGAGAGAGCCCAGCGACGAGUCGCGCGCUGACAUUGAGGACUUGAAGAAUUUGUGGGAGCAGAGUACCGAAACAGCGAGUAUCAAGCAGAAGGCAUGCAUCCCCUCGAUCGGUGAGUAUCUCCCCUUUUCAAUUCUCCUCGGUACAAGUGUUCAGCUCAUUUUUAGCUCCCACUCUCGUCAGAUCUAUCUGCUAUGAGCCUAUGACUAAUUCACUGGUGGAAUUGGAAGCUCAAGCGCAGUCAUCAUCAUACUAACCGGAGGUUGUCCAAAUAAUCAGUCUAGCUAUUGGCUCUCCAAAAAAAAAAGUACAACAGACAGGGAAAUUUCUAAUAUAUGUUAUUUUUAAACAAACUAUGUAGGGAGCAGAUACAAGGAGGAGCAAUCAAUGGCUGGGUCUGCUGUUAAGGCCGUCAUCAGGAAUGUGAGCAAACUUGCGGUUUGGGAAACCUCACUUUUAUGUGGUGUCACUGGUGAAGUAGGAUUCUUGAAAGAUGAACUGAAGCGGCUAAAGUGCUACCUUAGAUCUGCUGAUGCUAAACGGAGAUCAGGAGAUGAGUGUGUGGCUACCUGGGUCAGCCAGAUCAGGGACGUGACAUAUGAGUCCGAGAAUGUCAUUGAAGCUGCAGAUUACAUGGAGAAGAGAAACAGGCUGAAGAAUGGAUUCUUGGGUGCCAUUUCAAGGUAUGCUCGCUUGCCAAGUGACAUGGUUACCCUUCAUAAAGUUGGUGUCGAAAUCCAGCGUAUAAGAAGGAAGAUCGGUGAGAUAUUUGACAAUGCAAACCGUUUGAAUAUUGAUUUGGAUACUGGUGUUCUAGGCAAGUGCUGUGCCGAGGAUGAGUUUCCACGAGGCAAUGAUCUCAUGGAUCAAAACUUUGAGGAUGAUGUUGUCAUUGUUGGUUUUGAGGAUAAGUGCCAAGAAAUAACGGACAGGUUAGUUGACAAAGAGAACAAUACUCUUAGUGCUAUCUCCAUAGUCGCCAUGGGUGGGGCGGGAAAAACAUCACUCGUCAGAAAAAUCUACACAUCAUCAAGAGUAAAAGAACACUUCGACACAGUUGCUUGGGUGACUGUGUCUCAAAAGUUCAAGGCCGUUGAUUUACUAACAAGUGUUGUGGAACAAAUAAUGGGGACCAGAGUUGGUUUUAAUCUCCGUUAGUGUGAGGUGGGAAAGGAGAUACAUGAUUUUCUGUUGCAAAAAAGAUUCUUAAUAGUUUUCGAUGAUGUUUGGGAAACAGAUACAUGGGAGCAAAUAAACAAAAUGGUUAAAGCAUUUCCAGAUGUAGCUAAUGGUAGUCGAGUACUGUUAACCACACGAAAGCAAGAUGUUGCGAAUCAUGUGCAAAUGCCAACUCAUGUUCAUCAUUUGAAGAAGUUAAACGAAGAGAAAAGCUGGGAACUUUUUAGUAGCAAAGCUUUACCAUCAUACAACAGGUGUUCUGUAUGCGAUGUGGAUGAGUUUGAAGAACUAGGAAAGAAGCUUGCAAAGAAAUGUAAUGGAUUACCACUUGCACUUGCAGUUUUUGGGGGUUAUCUAUCAAAAAAUCUGAACAAGGAAACAUGGAUUGAUAUACUCUUGAGCUGGCCAUCAACCAAAGACGGACAGAUGAUGCGAGACAUACUAGCUCGCAGUUACAACGACCUACAAGACCAUUAUUUAAGAUCAUGUUUCCUCUAUGUUGGUGCUUUCCCCGAGGAUUAUGAAAUAUCUGUGUCGGAUCUUAUUGAGUUAUGGAUGGCAGAAUGCUUCAUUCCACAUACACCAAGACAUACACUGGAAGAAAUAGCACGUAAGUAUGUAACUGAGUUAGCUCAAAGAAGCUUGGUCCAAGUUGUUAGUAGAAGCAGAGCACAUGGAUGGAUUGAAAGAAUAAGGAUCCAUGAUAUCUUGCGUGACUGGUGCAUAGAAGAAGCAAGAGAAGACGGCUUUCUUGACAUGAUUGACAAAACUGCAUGUCAGGCUUCCUCUCUCUUUUCAUAUAGCCCUUUUUUUGGUUUCAAUAUAUGUCUUAGUAUGGUGUUUCUUGCUGACACGUGGAUGCACUUUAUAAUGCAGGCUAGGAUAGCGCAUCGUCAUCCGAAAGGACGCUAUCCUAUCGCGCUUCAUUCCAAAACUUCAGCGGUCAGAUUUCACAGGCAACAACUCCUAAUCUACGAACUCUGGUUGGCUUUGAACUUUCAUCAAUAUUCCUACCUAAGCUGAGAUUCCUGAGAGUUCUUCACAUUGAAAACUCAGACCUCGAGGGUUUCUCUCCAGCCAUUGGUGGGUGCAUUCAUCUAAGGUGCCUUAGGUUGAGAAGAUGUGGAAAUGUAACACUCCCUUCUUCAAUUGAAGAACUCCUUUACUUGCAGAUUAUAGACCUGAGGAAAACAAACUUGGACUCAACAGUACCAAACUCUCUUUGGAAUAUUCCCACUCUAAGGCAUGUUUACCUGAGCAGUGCAUUUUCUUCACCAAGGAGUGUGGGACACAAAGAUCUCCAGACCUUAUGGUUGACUUGUGCAUCUGCUGGUACCAAAUAUCGCUAUCAUGACAUGGUGAAAAUUUUCAGAAAAAUGAGACAACUAACAACCUUGUUCUUGGUAAUGAAGCCCAUGCAUGCUAAGAUAAUGAAUAUAUUUGCGUACAUGCCUCACCUGGUUGAUAUUCAUCUCGCCAGUUUUGGUGUGCUUGAUAAGCUUCCAGAGAGUAAUCACUUCCCGCAGAGCCUUCGGCAUCUCUAUCUAGAAGCUGAUGUCAUUGAAAUAGACCCGAUGCCGAUCCUGGAGAAGCUUCCCUGUCUUGUGGUAUUGGAGUUGUCAGGGUAUAAAGGUCGAACCAUGUCGUUCUCUGCCCAAGGGUUUCCUCGCCUACAAGAGUUAAAACUUGAUAUUUUCUCCAUCGAGGAGUGGAGGAUGGAGGUAGGAACAAUGCCAAAGCUCUCCCACCUGACACUUUGGUUGUGCAAGGAGAUGUGGAAGUUCCCAAGCGGAUUGCUGCACCUUCCAUCCCUCAAGAAUUUGAAACUAAUGAGUAAGUCCCUGAUUUCUGGAGAUGACAGCACACUGAAGGAGCUGGAGCGGAGAGGAUGCAAGGUACUGUAGCUUACUAUGCCCUCAUGUUCUUCUUUAAUAUUUACUGCUGUUUACGGUCAGAUAUUACAGUCCCCGUAUAUUUUCAGUACAAGGACCGAGAUACUCAUAAUAAAGUUCUGUUUUAAACUUAUCUGUGACUUGCUCUCCAUCCUUCCCUGCCUUGCUUGUUUGGAAUGAUGGUUUAGGAUAAACAGUUUGCGCACUCAAGUUAUUUUCUGUUUUUUUUUCCUUGCAGGUGGAACUUUAAAGAAGGUUUACGAGCUUCUUGCUGGUGGAACUUUAAGAAGAUUUACGAGUGGCGGACAUGUCUAAGUAUUAUUACUACUAUUCCUAAUUCAGAUGUCUUUGUCCCCUUGUUGCGGUGGUAUGAGAGAAGGAUGCAUCCUUUCUGAAUGUAUCUUUUUCGCCCUUCCUCAAAUUAUGUGCAUAUUGUAUGUUUUGCCUGAAUGUAAUAUAAUACAAAGGGCGAUACGUCUAACCACCGGUGAAUCUAGAUGAUGAUGUGCGUAUCUAUAUUUCUGAUUUGAACCGUCGAUGGAUUUUGAUUCCCACAAACAAAACUGAUGUGUUAUUUAUCGAAAAAAAUGUAUUUUUCUCUCUUGACAUGGUGAGCACUCACUUAUCAGCUCGUGCAAUGUCAGUCAGUUUGGUUCAUUUCACUGAAUGCCAAGUUCUAGACUCGGAUGCCCCAGGUUCUGCUUCCCUUUUUCCCCUUUGUGCUACACCUGACGGUACACUAACUUUAUUUUGGUUGUAUUCUGCACGCAGCUACAAACUAUACAACGACAGCAAAAAAAAUCUUAAACACCAUCCACAGUCAACUAAUUUUAAGCAUUGUACUACUCGUAGAUUUUUUUGUGUAACAUUGCAGGGAUUGCAGAGGAGGGGGGUGUGGCGGAGCAGUAGCAACAGUAAGUAGUACCGACUACCGGGAGCUCACAGCUUCCGCAGAUCAAAUACGUCGGCGAGGCAAAGGAUGGCCGGCGCCCGGCGGCAUCCUCCUGCCUGCGUUACGGCCAGCAUCUUCAAGCUCUGAUAAGCAAAUCCUGCAUACCACCACCACCGUGGCAGCAUCAAACUUCUCAUCAGGCGGAUACAAAUAGAGGGAGAGGCAGGGAUUGGGGAGAAAGGAAAGGAGGGGACUUUACGAGCUCGGGUACGGGGAGGGUCACGAGCCCUCCUGAUGCCCGGUGCUGCUGCUGCUCUCUAUGGCUGUCGGAGGUGGAUUUUCGCCGGCGCCAUGACCAGUGGGGGGAGAAAGAGGAGAGAAAUUAUCUACCUAGUGCUCCCCUCCGUCUGGUCACCGCUCCUUUCUCUCCCUCCCCUCUGUCACCGCCGGUGGUAGGCGCCGGGCUUAGCCUGUGCGUGCGCCGGCAGCGUCGGAGGCACUCCUCCUUCUCACGGGUCAAAGGGUGACGCGGGGCUCCCUGGCUCGAGAGUGUGACUCCGAUCUGGGCUGCGGCGGCGCCGAUCUGGUUCAUGACAACCCAGAUCUAAACUACGGCGGUGUGGCGGUUGGCCGGCGUCCUAUCGACGGCGGUGGCAGGGCUGGCGCUGCUCCUCCCGAUCUAGGGCGGAGGGACUUGGAUCCGAGGCGACGACCCCGAGGUUGGCCUUCAUGUCCGGUGGCGCGGCAGGGCGGGUAGGCUGCCGGCUCAGAUGGUCGGCGAUCCACCGGCGAGUUGGUGCCUCAGUGACCAACAGCGUUGAGCUGCUUCUUCCUCCAAUACUUGCAUCGUGCACUCUUGUCGUAACGAAUAUGGCUGUGCUGCUUGCCGGUCGCCGGGUGGGGCGGAACGGGAGGUGGGGAUUCGGAUUGGGAUAAUUCCCUGGUUGGCUGGCUCCUGCCGGCCGCGUCUUCCUAGAGACGUCGUUUGGGUUUGCCCCAUCUUUUUUCAUUCCACGGUUUCUCGGAUGAAACCCUAGGACAGUGACGACAUUCUUGGCGCGGUGUCUUUUUUGAAGGCGUUGUCGUGAGAGCUAAGUGCUCGU